GAUGAACGCUGGCGGCGUGCCUAAUACAUGCAAGUCGAGCGAACAGACGAGGAGCUUGCUCCUCUGACGUUAGCGGCGGACGGGUGAGUAACACGUGGAUAACCUACCUAUAAGACUGGGAUAACUUCGGGAAACCGGAGCUAAUACCGGAUAAUAUAUUGAACCGCAUGGUUCAAUAGUGAAAGACGGUUUUGCUGUCACUUAUAGAUAGAUCCGCGCCGCAUUAGCUAGUUGGUAAGGUAACGGCUUACCAAGGCAACGAUGCGUAGCCGACCUGAGAGGGUGAUCGGCCACACUGGAACUGAGACACGGUCCAGACUCCUACGGGAGGCAGCAGUAGGGAAUCUUCCGCAAUGGGCGAAAGCUUGACGGAGCAACGCCGCGUGAGUGAUGAAGGUCUUCGGAUCGUAAAACUCUGUUAUUAGGGAAGAACAAAUGUGUAAGUAACUAUGCACGUCUUGACGGUACCUAAUCAGAAAGCCACGGCUAACUACGUG
RNAcentral lists this ribosomal RNA (497 nucleotides) under uncultured bacterium. RNAcentral's name for it is "partial 16S ribosomal RNA". It matches the Rfam family "Bacterial small subunit ribosomal RNA", at positions 28 to 507 of the family's 1533-position model. The record is from RNAcentral.